This 253-nucleotide ribosomal RNA is filed under the name uncultured bacterium. Its description in RNAcentral is "partial 16S ribosomal RNA". It matches the Rfam family "Bacterial small subunit ribosomal RNA", at positions 524 to 776 of the family's 1533-position model. The record is from RNAcentral.
UACGAAGGGUGCAAGCGUUAUUCGGAAUUAUUGGGCGUAAAGGGUGUGUAGGCGGUAUGCUAAGUCAGCUGUUAAAUAUCUCGGCCUAACCGGGAAGAUGCGGUCGAUACUGGCAUGCUAGAGGAUGGAAGAGAGAAGUGGAAUUCUUAGAGUAGCGGUAAAAUGCGUAGAUCCUAAGAGGAACACCGAUGGCGAAGGCAACUUCUUGGUCCAUAUCUGACGCUGAUACACGAAAGCGUGGGGAGCAAACAGG